AAGUCGUAACAAGGUUACCGUAGGUGAACCUGCGGUAGGAUCAUUAAACAAAGUGUAUCCACACUAUAACCCUUGUGAACUGUUCUUUCAACCACGUAGUAAUUAUGAUCGAUACGCUGUCGAGCACACAGAUGAAGGGCACGAGCCGGGGUGCGGUUCGUUGCUUAAGUUGCUCCGCUAUCACUCUUUCAAUAGAGAAGAUCUGUUAUUACGUUUACCAAUUUCAUCUGUACCCCAUUUACAAACCUUCUUUGUACCUUUUUGAUUGUAAUUAAAAAACUGAAUCAGUCGAAAGGCUGACUUCGGAUUUUCAUUUUAUGAAAUUAAAGCACAACUCUUAGCAACGGAUAUCUCGGCUCUC
RNAcentral lists this unclassified non-coding RNA (361 nucleotides) under fungal sp. RNAcentral describes it as "partial internal transcribed spacer region". The stretch from base 1 to 46 matches the Rfam family "Eukaryotic small subunit ribosomal RNA", at positions 1786 to 1831 of the family's 1831-position model. The record is from RNAcentral. Lineage: Eukaryota; Fungi.